GGGGACACAGCUCAGUGGUAGAGUCUUGUCUAGUAUGCAUGAGGCCCUGGGUUCAAUCCCCAGCACCA
Molecule: transfer RNA, 68 nt
Filed under: Marmota monax (woodchuck)
Lineage: Eukaryota; Metazoa; Chordata; Mammalia; Rodentia; Sciuridae
Description: tRNA.Thr
Source: RNAcentral